This is a non-coding RNA of Loxodonta africana (African savanna elephant), 72 nucleotides long. The record is from Rfam. NCBI's taxonomy places the organism in Eukaryota, Metazoa, Chordata, Mammalia, Proboscidea, Elephantidae.
GCCCUGGUGGCACAACGGUUAAGCGCUCAGCUGCUAAAUGAAAGGUUGGUGGUUUGAACCCACUCAGCGGCU